AAAGAAUUUCCAGAGCGAGUGCACCUGGGGCCAUCAGAUGUCAGCAUAUGGGCUUGUCCCCUCUUUACCUCCCAGUCCCUGGUGUUAUUUAUAGAAACACAAUGCAUUUUUUUUUUCCCUAGGGGGAAGUUGAUCCCGAGGCCACUGAAAUAGCCAAAUAUUUCUCUGGCCUUCCAUCCCACCUCCAGGGAGACACCUGGAGGAGCAGAUCCCCAGGGAAUUCAGAACAGCUGCCACGGAACCUCCCCUGAAACUGCAAGCGCAUUCCCGGCACGCCUGCUCAGCAACCUGAGGAGCUGGGCUUGUCUCUUUCCUUCCUAGCACUUCCAGGUAUCUUGGGGAAAAAAAGGAGCAUCUAUGAUGAGUCUGGCAACUCCCCACACUGCAUUCUCCACCAUGCACCAGUACAUCAAAGGCUCUGAAAAGUCCUGCAGCUAAGAACCACAUUUAACUGUGCCUGUCCAGCAUUCGACCUCAGAAUCUUCCUUUCUUAGACCUAGUAACACUACUUAGGAAAUGCUGCUGGAGCACAAUCCUCUCAUUCCACAGCUGAGGUUCUGGGAGGCCCGGUGACUUGCUGGAGGACAACACACAGGCACCAGCUGAGAGACAGAAUUUUUGGAAGAACUUAGGGAAGAAACUAAGAAAAGACAACAGCACACAGCAACAAGCAGUCACCCGGGCCUCUCAUGUCACCGAGAACAUUAUGGUGGGCACCUGUGAGCUCUUCCUGACUGCCUGACUUCUGAGAUGUUUUCCCGACCACCCUGCUUCACCCAGGGCAGAGUUGCCAACUCCUUGAUGCCUCCUGUGUUGCAAUCACAAUCAGAUGAGGUCCCAGGGCCCCGGGGUGGGCAGCAGCUCACCGUAGCCGUGCUCG
Long non-coding RNA from Symphalangus syndactylus (siamang), 880 nucleotides. RefSeq lists it as uncharacterized. The record is from RefSeq and is a predicted model, not a curated record. NCBI's taxonomy places the organism in Eukaryota, Metazoa, Chordata, Mammalia, Primates, Hylobatidae.